GGUAAGGUGGCUGAGACAGGCGUCGGGUUGUAGCUCCGAGUAUAAGGGUCAAGUCCCUUUCUUACCA
Molecule: transfer RNA, 67 nt
Filed under: Urspelerpes brucei (patch-nosed salamander)
Lineage: Eukaryota; Metazoa; Chordata; Amphibia; Caudata; Plethodontidae
Description: tRNA-Tyr
Rfam family: tRNA
About the family: Transfer RNA (tRNA) molecules are approximately 80 nucleotides in length.
Source: RNAcentral